This is a non-coding RNA of Paramuricea clavata, 682 nucleotides long. Lineage: Eukaryota; Metazoa; Cnidaria; Anthozoa; Malacalcyonacea; Plexauridae. The record is from the annotation of a GenBank genome assembly.
UAGGGUCCCUUUAAAUCGUAUCAAAGCCCCCAAAACCUUUUAAAAUAUAUAAACUCAUUCCACUAUGAAGUUAAACAAGACAAAUGGAUACCAUUUAGCCUUUAAAAGAGGUUCUACUAAGCCGUAUAUGUAACCAUAGGCUUGCGUUAUUUGAGGCUUCGUAAAUAAUAUCGUUCCACUUCGUUGACUUACCUUCGUAUUUCAAAACAACAUCCGAAUUUUCGCUUGUUUCUGCCAUCUCUUUCAUCCCAGCUUUCUGUACUUCGUUCGCCACGUCCUGUACUUUAUAUGUCUCUGUUUCAACCAUAAUUUCUUCGAGAUAAACGCCUUCAAACCAGUAAACAACCGAAGCACUUUUGUUCACGCUAACUGAGCUUUAUCGUUAAAGUUGUCUUUGUCUUCGCUUCGCCAAAAAAUUGGCGGGCACUGAUACCAAACUUCAAAUUCCCCCGUCCAAAACUCGGUAGUGCUUUUCUGCAAUUCAAUUUCAAUGCAACACAAUAAAUCUGAGCUGUAUACGCCUAAAUCUUGAGCUUAUAAACGCCUUCGUUCGUAACCUAAUGUUGCCCUCGAGAACUUGUCUUUUGGAAUGCAAAUUUUUGGCGUGGUGUGUCAAAUCUGUGCCUCAACUGAUACCAUUUGCAAGUUUAAUUAUAUAACUCACUCAACCAUGAAAGGUUUC